Non-coding RNA from Pelobates cultripes (western spadefoot toad), 126 nucleotides. Lineage: Eukaryota; Metazoa; Chordata; Amphibia; Anura; Pelobatidae. The record is from the annotation of a GenBank genome assembly.
UGUGUGUGUGUGAGUGUGUGUGUGUCUGUCUGUGUAUGUGUGUGUGUGUCUGUGUCUGUGAGUGUGUACGCAUAUAUAUAUAUAUAUAUAUAUACACACACACACACACACACACACACACACACA